UACAGGCGUUCACCACUGUGUCUGGCCUAAAUGGUUUAUCUUUACUUAUUCUUUGGGAACAGAGACUUUGUUUUGAUUUAUGUGUUCAAAGUGUGCUGGAAUGAACUUGACAGAGCAUUUAUUAAUUUCAAUACUCCUGCUCCCUUGGAUUACGCAUAGGAUUCCUAUUAGAGUGCACAGUGUCUAAAUCUGUGUUUUAAGGGGUAAUGGUCUUCAGCCUUCCUUUCUAAAAGUUAUGGUGUUAGUUUCCUGUUUAAGGCAUUGUCCAAGUUAGAUUAUCCUCUGUUACACAUAUCUAUAAGAAAACAAAAUCUGGAAAUGAAAACUCAGAAAUCACUAGACUGAGUGGUAGUUGAUAUGCUAAUUUUAACUCAUGUGCUUCGUUACUGACUUCUGAUUAUUUAUUCAUGCUCAUGUUAAAGCUUAGUAGCUGCGAAGAUACUGCUGAUUACCUGUGCCUCUCUUAAGACUCUGGAGCCUUAAGUUUCCUGUCUCUGUGGCUGUCUUCCUUCACUAUUGAGC
Sapajus apella (tufted capuchin) is the source of this 522-nucleotide long non-coding RNA. RefSeq lists it as uncharacterized. The record is from RefSeq and is a predicted model, not a curated record. The transcript is spliced from 2 exons. Lineage: Eukaryota; Metazoa; Chordata; Mammalia; Primates; Cebidae.